RNAcentral lists this transfer RNA (74 nucleotides) under Acidithiobacillus ferrivorans. RNAcentral's name for it is "tRNA-Cys". It matches the Rfam family "tRNA". Rfam says of the family: Transfer RNA (tRNA) molecules are approximately 80 nucleotides in length. Their secondary structure includes four short double-helical elements and three loops (D, anti-codon, and T loops). Lineage: Bacteria; Pseudomonadati; Pseudomonadota; Acidithiobacillia; Acidithiobacillales; Acidithiobacillaceae. The record is from RNAcentral.
GCACGGUUAGCCAAGCGGCCAGGCUGUGGACUGCAAAUCCACCCAUAUCGGUUCGACUCCGAUACCGUGCUCCA